AUGUCUCUGAUAUGUGGACCUAAAUAUGUUAAUCUCAUUAAAGUAGAGAGAAGAAUAGUUACCACCAGAAGCUGUAGAAGGGGAGGCAAGGGGAAAAGAAAAAGAAACUACGAUGGGUAUCUCUGCAGGUACUUGAAGACUACUGAAAGAAACACAGACAGGACAUGGAUGAAUCUGGAGAACAUCAUCCUCAGCAAACUGACACAAGAACAGAAAAUGAAACACCGCAUAUUCUCACUCAUAGGCGGGUGAUGAAAAAUGAGAACACAUGGACACAGAAAGGGGAGUACUAAACACUGGGGUCUAUUGGGGGGAAAAGGGGAGGGCCAGUGGGAGG
RNAcentral lists this long non-coding RNA (337 nucleotides) under Callithrix jacchus (white-tufted-ear marmoset). RNAcentral's name for it is "lncRNA (ENSCJAG00000064625.2)". Lineage: Eukaryota; Metazoa; Chordata; Mammalia; Primates; Cebidae. The record is from RNAcentral.